RNAcentral lists this ribosomal RNA (443 nucleotides) under uncultured bacterium. RNAcentral's name for it is "partial 16S ribosomal RNA". It matches the Rfam family "Bacterial small subunit ribosomal RNA", at positions 338 to 795 of the family's 1533-position model. The record is from RNAcentral.
CCUACGGGGGGCAGCAGUGGGGAAUAUUGGGCAAUGGGCGCAAGCCUGACCCAGCAACGCCGCGUGAAGGAAGAAGGCUUUCGGGUUGUAAACUUCUUUUCUGAGGGACGAAGAAAGUGACGGUACCUCAGGAAUAAGCCACGGCUAACUACGUGCCAGCAGCCGCGGUAAUACGUAGGUGGCGAGCGUUGUCCGGAAUAACUGGGCGUAAAGGGAGCGUAGGUGGUUGAUUAAGUUAAAUGUGAAAGCCCAGGGCUCAACUCUGGAACUGCAUUUAAUACUGGUCGGCUAGAGUACAGGAGGGGUAAACGGAAUUUCUAGUGUAGCGGUGAAAUGCGUAGAUAUUAGGAAGAACACCGGAGGCGAAGGCGGUUUACUGGACUGCAACUGACACUGAGGCUCGAAAGCGUGGGGAGCAAACAGGAUUAGAUACCCGAGUAGUC